RNAcentral lists this ribosomal RNA (253 nucleotides) under uncultured bacterium. RNAcentral's name for it is "partial 16S ribosomal RNA". It matches the Rfam family "Bacterial small subunit ribosomal RNA", at positions 524 to 776 of the family's 1533-position model. The record is from RNAcentral.
UACAGAGGUCCCAAGCGUUGUUCGGAUUCACUGGGCGUAAAGGGUGCGUAGGUGGCAGGGUAAGUUCGAUGUGAAAGCUCGGAGCUUAACUCCGAAAUGGCAUUGAAUACUCUCCUGCUCGAGGGUCGGAGGGGAGACUGGAAUUCUCGGUGUAGCAGUGAAAUGCGUAGAUAUCGAGAGGAACACCGGUGGCGAAGGCGAGUCCCUGGACAACUCCUGACACUGAGGCACGAAAGCUAGGGGAGCAAACAGG